AGAGUUUGAUCAUGGCUCAGAAUCAACGCUGGCGGCGCGCUUAACACAUGCAAGUCGAGCGAGAAAGUGGGGCAACCCAUGAGUACAGCGGCGUACGGGUGAGUAACACGUGGGUAAUCUACCUCUUAGUGGGGAAUAACCCUGGGAAACCGGGGCUAAUACCGCAUAAGCCUGAGAAGGGAAAGCAGGAAUGCGCUGAGAGAGGAGCCCGCGGCCGAUUAGCUAGUUGGUGAGGUAACGGCUCACCAAGGCGAUGAUCGGUAGCCGGCCUGAGAGGGCACACGGCCACACUGGCACUGGGACACGGGCCAGACUCCUACGGGAGGCAGCAGUGGGGAAUCUUGCACAAUGGAGGCAACUCUGAUGCAGCGACGCCGCGUGAGCGAUGAAGCCCUUCGGGGUGUAAAGCUCUUUCGGCAGGGACGAUGAUGACGGUACCUGCAGAAGAAGCUGCGGCUAACUACGUGCCAGCAGCCGCGGUAAUACGUAGGCAGCGAGCGUUGUUCGGAAUUACUGGGCGUAAAGAGUGUGUAGGCGGUGGUCUAAGUUCGGUGUGAAAUCUCCCGGCUUAACUGGGAGGGUGCGCCGGAAACUGGAUUGCUGGAGCGUGGGAGAGGAAAGCGGAAUUCCUGGUGUAGCGGUGAAAUGCGUAGAUAUCAGGAGGAACACCCGCGGUGUAGACGGCUUUCUGGACCAUAGCUGACGCUGAGACACGAAAGCGUGGGUAGCAAACAGGAUUAGAUACCCCGGUAGUCC
RNAcentral lists this ribosomal RNA (756 nucleotides) under uncultured bacterium. RNAcentral describes it as "bacterial SSU rRNA". It matches the Rfam family "Bacterial small subunit ribosomal RNA", at positions 8 to 796 of the family's 1533-position model. The record is from RNAcentral.